Bolinopsis microptera is the source of this 1668-nucleotide long non-coding RNA. RefSeq lists it as uncharacterized. The record is from RefSeq and is a predicted model, not a curated record. Lineage: Eukaryota; Metazoa; Ctenophora; Tentaculata; Lobata; Bolinopsidae. The transcript is spliced from 5 exons.
AGAAAUGAAUUCCGCGAUCAUGAAUUGUAAUGAAGAUAUCGAUCACACUGAAAUACACUUCGAGACAGGAGUAGCAUUAACCAACGCAUCGUUUAUAUACAGCGGGGGCAUAGCGAAUUCUUGCCAGUAGUCUAAUGAGAUUCAUUAUAUGUCUCCAUGGUUACCUGUCCAUAGUUUCCGGUGCCCCAGCCUGAGUUAAAGCAAUGAGGGCUGCUGUUCUCACAAAGAGUGAUGUUUACUUUUUGGUUACAAAACAACUUCAGAGGAACGGGGCAUAGUGGUGUGUACACUGGACAUGACACUAACAGGAAUUGUCGUGAUGGGAAAACACGGACUUAGUUACACUCCUGAUCCUCUGUCAAACAGGGGAAGCUAAAGGAAUGUUUUAUCUCGGAGUAUUAACCGAACGAACGUUCGAAGGACGAAGUCUAUAAGAAUUGACGAACCGGACUCUGACAACAUCAACUGUAUUAGAAGUACUCCUCCACAAGACCUUUAUAGACGACUGCCCAGUGUCCACGUAGCUUAACAGGCUCUGAAAAAAAAUCGCUGCUACCGCUGACCCUCUUACUAUAUACGUGUGCUCAGAGGCAGUAUCUGGCAUGUCUUUUGAGUCGAGAGCUAAGCUUGGCUGCCAGAUAACAGGAUGGUUCAACGAAGCAGUCCGGAUGCUAACCGACGUGGACAUCCUUUUAAUCCCCGUGACGAGAAGCAACUACAGCUAUCUUCACACUACAUCAAUACUAACUCUGGAAAACCUGUCCUGCUCUGGGACUCCGACUAUUCCGCCCAAAUCAGACGCUCCUUCCUCUUUGGAACCCCUCGAGAUACCUCUGCUCUCUUGACGCUGAACACCUGAUCCUGGAUGGAACCUCUGCCCUCGUACAACCUAUUCACUCAGCUCUUUGCCGUGCACGGCCUGUUUGACGAUAACUGGCACAUCCCCCUAUCCUAUGGACUCCUGCAACCACAAGCAAGCGAUGGACCGGAAAUUCAACAAUACAUCUCCAUGGCUUGGCGGUUCUUCCUACAGACAUGGUGGAGUUCUGCAGUUUCUAAGAGUCUACAUGGAUCGGGACCUCUUCAACCAAUCCUACCUUCGCUCACUACAAAUGGAACCUGCACGAUUCCACCAAGAUGCUGCUUCCUCGGAGUACAAGAUAGCAGAAGGAUGGCUCCACAGAUUCCACUCCAUGUUAUCCUGUUCAAAUCCUACUUUCUGGAAGUUUCUGGACUGUCUGAAAGUGGAUAAAGUAUGAAGAAAGACUGCAGACUGUUGUUGACGUUGUCACCUCAUACGACGAGUAUGAGGUGCUUGAUUUUCUAAUAGUUAUUGGGGGGUUUCUAUUGGAUUUUAUGAUUUAAAUUUAUUAAUAUGACUCUAAAAUUGAUUAACGUGUUACGGGUAAACCGCCCCUAAAACGUCACCUGUUUUUUGGGCCCAGAUUGCCGAGUUAGGGCUAAAUUUACAGGGUUCUGAAGUGUCUAGGAAUAAUAUUUAAACCUUUUUCUAGCCUGCCAGGAAGAUUUGGAAAUUUGAAAAUAAAAUCAGGUACAAUUUUUUUGACGUUGAAAUGGAGUCACUUUUAAAACACCACCCCUAAAAUGUCAACUCUAUAUGUGUGAUAAAUACAAAAUGUACAGGAGGCCUGAUUUAUCUUUUGUCAC